AGUGAACGCUGGCGGUAUGCCUAACACAUGCAAGUCGAACGGCAGCACAGUAAGAGCUUGCUCUUACGGGUGGCGAGUGGCGGACGGGUGAGGAAUACAUCGGAAUCUACUUUUUCGUGGGGGAUAACGUAGGGAAACUGACGCUAAUACCGCAUACGACCUACGGGUGAAAGCAGGGGAUCUUCGGACCUUUCGCGAUUGAAUGAGCCGAUGUCGGAUUAGCUAGUUGGCGGGGUAAAGGCCCACCAAGGCGACGAUGCGUAGCCGGUCUGAGAGGAUGAUCGGCCACACUGGAACUGAGACACGGUCCAGACUCCUACGGGAGGCAGCAGUGGGGAAUAUUCGACAAUGGGCGAAAGCCUGAUCCAGCAAUACCGCGAGAGUGAAGAAGGCCUUCGGGUUGUAAAGCCCUGUUGUUGGGAAAGAAAAACAGCAGGUUAAUACCUGGCUGUUCUGACGGUACCCAAAGAAUAAGCACCGGCUAACUUCGUG
Molecule: ribosomal RNA, 492 nt
Filed under: uncultured bacterium
Lineage: Bacteria
Description: partial 16S ribosomal RNA
Rfam family: Bacterial small subunit ribosomal RNA
Source: RNAcentral